CUGAAGCAUCUAACUUAUGAGGACACACUGGGAGAGUUGGGCUUACUCAGCCUGGAGAAGAGAAGGCUCUGGGGAGACCUUAGAGCAGGUUCCAGUAC
Strigops habroptila (Kakapo) is the source of this 98-nucleotide long non-coding RNA. RefSeq lists it as uncharacterized. Lineage: Eukaryota; Metazoa; Chordata; Aves; Psittaciformes; Psittacidae. The record is from RefSeq and is a predicted model, not a curated record. The transcript is spliced from 4 exons.